GAAAGGAUGUGCGGGUAGAAAUGAGCAAUUGCAACUAGAAGAGCCUGUGUGCCCACAAUCAGGGGUGAGGAGGAGUGUCAUGGAGCAGCUCUCUACUGCCCUGAGAAUGACAUCCCCACUGUUCACCAUGGCCUUAAAUCCCCUGCGAAUUCCACCUCAUCCUCUGCCACUUCCCGUCACUGCUCUGAAGAUGCCCUGAUCUUGUUUCAGUCCCUUGGAAGUACCCAGCUCUUCUCCAUCUUUGCAUGUGUCAUAGCCU
RNAcentral lists this long non-coding RNA (259 nucleotides) under Pan troglodytes (chimpanzee). RNAcentral's name for it is "long non-coding RNA NONPTRT017168". The record is from RNAcentral. Lineage: Eukaryota; Metazoa; Chordata; Mammalia; Primates; Hominidae.